This 253-nucleotide ribosomal RNA is filed under the name uncultured bacterium. Its description in RNAcentral is "partial 16S ribosomal RNA". It matches the Rfam family "Bacterial small subunit ribosomal RNA", at positions 524 to 776 of the family's 1533-position model. The record is from RNAcentral.
UACGUAGGCAGCGAGCGUUGUUCGGAGUUACUGGGCGUAAAGCGUGCGUAGGCGGUGUCUUAAGUUUGUUGUGAAAUCUCCCGGCUUAACCGGGAGGGUGCGGCGAAUACUGAGAUGCUGGAGUGCGGGAGAGGUAAGCGGAAUUCCCGGUGUAGCGGUGAAAUGCGUAGAUAUCGGGAGGAACAUCAGUGGCGAAGGCGACUUUCUGGACAGCUACUGACACUGAGGCACGAAAGCAUGGGGAGCAAACAGG